CCAAAUCCAGUAAUUUAAAUAUUUCAUAAUCGAAGCCCAAUUACAUUACACAAUAUUUAUCAAAUAGGCUAACUGGUUCAAACUUUCACAUAAUUGAAUAACUAAAUACCCACAUAAAUUUAUCAGUUACAAUCGAAGUUCAAUAUCAAUCAGAACAAUUUUGUAAACUCACAAUUACGCUAAUUACUAAAAUUAAAUAUUUUCUUUUCUAGCUCUGCGAUGAAGGAAAUAGAGCUUUAACUGGGGUUUAGAAGAGACUACUUCCUGGAAAGUUAAACAAAACAUGUGAAUUUUAUAAGGAAUAAUAAUUAUUGCACCCCACAAGCAUUCACACAAAUGUGUAAAUAAUUAAAUCUAGUCAUCAGACUAGUUAUAUGAUCACGCGGACAAUCACACAAAUGGCAUCAGAACAGCACUCACAAAUAUUUGCACCUUCCCCACAUAUCCUCAAUUGACCAGCCAUCUCAUUAUUUUUCCAUUCUCUUUUUUCUUUUCCAUACCAAUACGAGGCCACCCAGUGGUUUUCCAUAUCAUUCGUAUCAUAUCAUCAGGUCCACACGAGAGCGUCGAUCUCCCCAUACAUGGCCGAUGGUCAAAUUUCAUAUUUUCAUUAUUUUCAGGACCGUCCUCACAAACCCAUGGUAACUACUUCAUCCCAACUCCACACAAACAAAACAUAACAUUAUAUCAACACAAUUAAUCAAACAUUGCAAAUAAAUGCAAGCAUGGCAAACAAUUAAAUAUCAUGAUGCAAUUGCACAACUAGACAUUCAUAUUUAAUUACAAUUAAAUAAAGGAAUAGUAAUUAACAAUAUAUUAUAAUAAUUGAUCCUUGGAAAAUAAAUAAAUCAAUAAUAAUAAUAAAAUAAUUAAAGAAUGUUAUUUAUUAUAUAUUAAGUUAAAGAAUUAAUCUAAAUAAAUCUAUUAACUUAAUUAUUAAUUGUGACUAGCCUAAAUUCUAUCGAAAUUCUGACAUAACCUCCCUUAAAAUUUGACUAACCCAAAAUUCAAUAAUAAAUUCUCAAAGCCCAUCCUUCGGGCAAUCCAAAACAACCAAUCCUAUUUGCCAAACCAUUAUUCAUUCGUUCAAUCAUUUACUCAAAUCACACAGUCCAUCCGUCAGGCAAUCAAUCAAAUCAAGCACCUAUCCUCCUUAAACAUUAGUAUUAACACCCAACUAUCUCAACCACAAAUUUGCAAAUAUAGCAACUUUCAACCUCUUCCAACAAUACUCAUAUAAGAUUAUUUGUUAAAUCAUAAACUGAUCAAAUUAAUAACUUGUAAUUAAAUUGUUAAGUUAUUAAAACUCAUUUUUAACAAUAACUAUUUUUCACUACUAGUUACUUUAGAUUCGAUUCUUAUAUCAAUAUCAGAAGCGGUUAGGCUUUCCAAACUUAGUUUAUCAGAAUUAUGCAUCUAACCUCCGUUAACCGACCCAAAAAAAAAAAAAAAAAAAAAAAAAUCAUCUUACUUUUAUGCACAACCAGCUAGUUUUAAGCUAAUGAUUAUACUAAUUAACUAGCUGACUAAUUCUAAUAUAUCUUUCACAUUUUGAUUUGUCACAACUAUUAUAAAUGACUUGUAGUCUAAAGUUUCAAAAUUUAUUGUAUUUAUCUAAUGAGGAUCAUAUUCGAUUAAAGACUAAAAAUGUUCUAUCUACAUAUGAACUAUUCUAAUAAUCUAAUUUCUUGUUAUUUAAUUAAAUCUACUUAAAUAAUCAAUUAAAUUUACUAAUCAAUUAAAUGCGAAAUUUAUACAAAAAUUAAGAAGUGGGUCUUUGGGCGUACCGAUGAAAAGUCGAAUGACGAUUCCACUACCAGCGCGAGGAGAGGUAGAUUCUGUCUCUUGUUGCCUCGCCGGAGACUCGCCGUUCGGUCGCCGUACGCCGCCGCCUAUGGUGGCCGGAAACCGUGAGUGCUCGGAAUCGAGCGCUCAUCGCACUAUCUGGCUCGGUUUUCUGUCAGGAGUCCAUUUGUGGCAUUAGUUGCGCGAGAUCAGCCUUCUAUUCGACCGGAGCGGGCUCGACAGGAGCCAAGUGCCGCUGCCAUCUUCGCUGCCGAUAAGUAGAGGAAACUACAGCUCGUCGGAAUCGCGAGCGAGGAAGAGACGCGACUGAGCAGAGGCGAUCGGCGGUUGAAUAGCAAAGAUUGGAGGUGCUGCUGCGUCGCCGCCAAGGAGAGACCGCAGCUCGCCUAUCCGCCUUGCUUGCCAGAACUGGAAACAAAAGGAGAGAAGGAGAGAAGCCGGAAAAAGGGACCAGCGGCUCCAGGGGAGUCGAUUGCCGCCUCGCUCUCGUCGGGCGGUGGCCGAAAACGGGAAGGAGGGAGGAGGUCUCGCCUGCGCUCGCUGGAGAGGGAAGAAGAAGAAGAAAGAAAGUGGUUCUAGAGCUUUCUGGGCCAUUUUGGUUCGAUUCGAACCGGUUUGGUCCAAUUCAGUGAUUUGAUCCGGUUUUUGCUUGGUUUACGGGUUUUUACCUGGUUUUCGAAACACUCAAAUUGGUUUAUAGGUCCGGUUUAGUAAUAAU
RNAcentral lists this long non-coding RNA (2524 nucleotides) under Jatropha curcas. RNAcentral's name for it is "long non-coding RNA (JCUR_LNC001370)". The record is from RNAcentral. Lineage: Eukaryota; Viridiplantae; Streptophyta; Magnoliopsida; Malpighiales; Euphorbiaceae.